GAGGAAUCAAACCCAAGUCUAAUUUUAAAGUCAAGCAGUUCUACUCCUGGGUGCGUACUCCUGAGAGAAAGUGCUUCCGUGUGCCCAUGAAGACGUGUUGAAGAAGGUCCACGGGAGAACUCUUCAUAACAACAAAAAAAUGGAAAUGACUGAAUUGCCCACUGAGAAAAGAAUGUAUAUUAGCCCUCAACCACUGAAUUUAAGAGGGUAGAGAGAAAGUUUUUCCUCCAUGACAGCGACUAAGACAGAAGAAUUCUUGCUCUCAUGGAAACUGCAUUCUACCAGGUA
This is a non-coding RNA of Delphinapterus leucas (beluga whale), 288 nucleotides long. The record is from RefSeq and is a predicted model, not a curated record. NCBI's taxonomy places the organism in Eukaryota, Metazoa, Chordata, Mammalia, Artiodactyla, Monodontidae.